Molecule: non-coding RNA, 90 nt
Filed under: uncultured Acutalibacter sp.
Lineage: Bacteria; Bacillati; Bacillota; Clostridia; Eubacteriales; Acutalibacteraceae
Description: TPP riboswitch (THI element)
Rfam family: TPP riboswitch aptamer (THI element)
About the family: Vitamin B(1) in its active form thiamin pyrophosphate (TPP) is an essential coenzyme that is synthesised by coupling of pyrimidine and thiazole moieties in bacteria.
Source: RNAcentral
AACAGGGGAGCUCGUAGCGGCGGGCUGAGAGGAAGUCAUCAACUUCGACCCUUUUAACCUGAUACGGAUAAUGCCGUCGUAGGAAGUGAC